This 71-nucleotide transfer RNA is filed under the name Schistocerca americana (American grasshopper). Its description in RNAcentral is "tRNA-Glu". It matches the Rfam family "tRNA". Rfam says of the family: Transfer RNA (tRNA) molecules are approximately 80 nucleotides in length. Their secondary structure includes four short double-helical elements and three loops (D, anti-codon, and T loops). Lineage: Eukaryota; Metazoa; Arthropoda; Insecta; Orthoptera; Acrididae. The record is from RNAcentral.
UCCGGUGUGGUCUAGUGGCUAGGAUACCUGGCUCUCACCCAGGAGGCCCGGGUCGAUUCCCGGUACCGGAA